Molecule: ribosomal RNA, 437 nt
Filed under: Kumbadjena karricola
Lineage: Eukaryota; Metazoa; Onychophora; Udeonychophora; Euonychophora; Peripatopsidae
Description: partial 16S ribosomal RNA
Rfam family: Bacterial large subunit ribosomal RNA
Source: RNAcentral
AAAAAGUAUUACCUGCCCAAUGAUUAAUUUAAUGGCUGCAGUAUAUUGACUGUACAAAGGUAGCAUAAUCAUUUGCUUUAUAAAUUAAAGCUUGUAUGAAUGGUAUAAUGAAAAUAUAACUGUCUUUUAUUUAUAAAUAAAAUUUGCUUUUUCAGUGAAGAAGCUGAAAAUUUUUAGAAAGACGAUAAGACCCUAAUGAGUUUUAUAUAUAUAAUUUUAUAUAAUAAUUAUAUAUAUUUUAUUGGGGUAAUAAAAGAAAAAAUCUUCUUUUAUAUUAAAAAAAUAAUAUUUAUUGAACCACUAAUAGUGGUUUAAAGUUUAAAUUACCAUAGGGAUAACAGCAUAAUUCUUUUUAAGAGUACAUAUCGACAAAAGAGAUUGUGACCUCGAUGUUGAAUUAAGAAUAUUAUAUAAUGUAGAAAUUAUAUUAAUAAGUC